GAUGAACGCUGGCGGCGUGCCUAAUACAUGCAAGUCGAGCGAACAGAUGAGGAGCUUGCUCCUCUGACGUUAGCGGCGGACGGGUGAGUAACACGUGGAUAACCUACCUAUAAGACUGGGAUAACUUCGGGAAACCGGCGCUAAUACCGGAUAAUAUAUUGAACCGCAUGGUUCAAUAGUGAAAGACGGUUUUGCUGUCACUUAUAGAUGGAUCCGCGCCGCAUUAUCUAGUUGGUAAGGUAACGGCUUACCAAGGCAACGAUGCGUAGCCGACCUGAGAGGGUGAUCGGCCACACUGGAACUGAGACACGGUCCAGACUCCUACGGGAGGCAGCAGUAGGGAAUCUUCCGCAAUGGGCGAAAGCCUGACGGAGCAACGCCGCGUGAGUGAUGAAGGUCUUCGGAUCGUAAAACUCUGUUAUUAGGGAAGAACAAAUGUGUAAGUAACUAUGCACGUCUUGACGGUACCUAAUCAGAAAGCCACGGCUAACUACGUG
RNAcentral lists this ribosomal RNA (497 nucleotides) under uncultured bacterium. RNAcentral describes it as "partial 16S ribosomal RNA". It matches the Rfam family "Bacterial small subunit ribosomal RNA", at positions 28 to 507 of the family's 1533-position model. The record is from RNAcentral.